This 460-nucleotide ribosomal RNA is filed under the name uncultured bacterium. RNAcentral describes it as "partial 16S ribosomal RNA". It matches the Rfam family "Bacterial small subunit ribosomal RNA", at positions 338 to 795 of the family's 1533-position model. The record is from RNAcentral.
CCUACGGGAGGCAGCAGUGAGGAAUAUUGGUCAAUGGGCGCGAGCCUGAACCAGCCAAGUAGCGUGAAGGAUGAAUGCCCUCCGGUUUGUAAACUUCUUUUAUAAAGGCAUAAAGUGAGACGCGUGUUGCUUUUUGUAUGUACGUUAUGAAUAAGGAACCGCUAACUCCGUUCCAGCAGCCGCGGUAAUACGGCGGAUCCGAGCGUUAUCCGGAUUUAUUGGGUGUAAAGGGAGCGUAGAUGGGUUGGUAAGUCAGUUGUGAAAGUUUGCGGCUCAACCGGUAAAUUGCAAUUGAUACUGGCAGUCUUGAGUACAGGUGAGGCAGGCGGAAUUCGUGGUGUAGCGGUGAAAUGCUUAGAUAUCACGAAGAACUCCGAUGGCGAAGGCAGCUUACUAAACUGCCACUGACACUGAUGCGCGAAAGUGUGGGUAGCAAACAGGAUUAGAUACCCCAGUAGUC